RNAcentral lists this long non-coding RNA (795 nucleotides) under Pan troglodytes (chimpanzee). RNAcentral describes it as "long non-coding RNA NONPTRT001036". Lineage: Eukaryota; Metazoa; Chordata; Mammalia; Primates; Hominidae. The record is from RNAcentral.
CCGGCCUCCCAGUUUUCAUGAUGAGGAAGUGAUGGUAGCUUUUCAUCUGCCCAGAAGUUAACUUUUGAUGGAUUUGCCUUCUAAGGCAUCAAACAUGUCUUCUAAGGCCUUCUCCACACAUUGGAGAAACUCCCGGGCAUUGCGGCCUGGGUAGGAAGAGACAUUGCAGCCUAUCCAGUUGUCAUGAACAGCAUACCCAACACCAAAGCCAUCAGAGACCACAGGGGCAAAGCCCCCAAGGUUCACUGCUGGGCUGCUCAGCGUGCUCGUGGACAGGACAUUGUGGUUUAUCUGCCCGUAUGCAGGGUCCAGGUAGAGCUCAGGCAAGAUGAUCCCUUUGGCUGCUGCCAGAUGCCGCAGAGCAAACAAGUGUCGGUCAAAGCCCUGGCCUGUGAGAAACAAAAUGGAAAACCAGAGUCUCAGGAUGGAAAAGGACCUCAGGAAAACCUCCCAACUCACCACAUGGACCAGGAGGUGUCUGGCCUUGUCAUCAGUGAAGAGUUCAUCCCGACUGGGUUUGGGUAAACGAGUUGAGUUGAAAAGCCGAAAAUACUGGGACAUAUCCAGGGGAUACGCAUUGACCAGGUAGGCCCCAUACCAGGACAGAGAGGAAGGCACAAAGCGUAUGAGUCUCUUGAAGGUGAUAGUGUCACUUUUUGCAGGGUUCAAGUGGAACACUUCUGGCUCCAGAAGGCCAGCCCGGAGUGUCUUCAGAAACCGGAUGGCAGAAACAGUCAUGUUGGUUGCCCGGAUGAGGAAACUGAGACUUCAAGAGUCCAAAUAUCUUAGUGUUCU